UCUUGGCUUCCUCUUCAAGAACUUCAGUUCAUCUCUUUCCUUUCGUCCUCAACCUCUAAACCUCCGUCUUUGCUAGGGUUUCUAAGGUUUCUUUCACAGUUUAAUCUGGUGGAAUACGAUUUUCGACAUUUUCCCACUGCAGUAACGACGUGUUUCUCCCUUCUUAGAAGCUUUCAUUUGUUGGCCGUCUGAACAUUGGAGGUGUUUCUUUACGUGUAAAGGUUGAUGGACGGAGCGGAACUUUUCAUUGAUCUCACAGAAACUACCGGAGCGACAAGGAAGACCGUAGAAGCUAACGAGUUUCAACCCUUCGAUGGAAACCAAAUUGCCAGUCUUCAAUCCCAGCUUCGUCUUCUCCAAGACAGAGUGAAGGAAUUGGAGGAGAAAAAUUCGAAGCUAUCCUCUCGACUUGCAAGUUGCUGUUGUUCUGAGAGGAGGAUGAACUUUGGCGACAGGAGUCGUUCGAUUGAGAAAAGCAAGGAAUCUGGCACUACUAAGAAGAAAUCAGUAGAAAAAACAACAGGUUAUAACACCAGGAUCUUGGAUCACUGUUCAAAGAGAUAUAUUGCUCUAAAAGUAAUGUACUUCGGGCAGAGGUUCUAUGGUUUUGCUUCAGAGGCACAAAUGGAACCAACAGUUGAAUCUGAAAUUUUCAGAGCUCUUGAGAAAGCUAGGCUUCUUGUUGGUGGUAGGAAGGAGUCUUGUUAUUCAAGAUGUGGGAGAACGGACAAGGGUGUGUCAUCGGUUGGGCAAGUAAUUGCUCUCUAUUUACGGUCAAACCUUAAGGAUCCCCCUAAUGGUGAAAAUAGUUGUCAUAAUGGGGAAGAGCAGCAUGAUGGAGAAAUUGAUUACGUGAGAGUAAUUAAUAAAGUCCUUCCUAAUGACAUUCGGGUUUUAGGCUGGUGUUCUGUUCCUGUUGGCUUCAGUGCAAGGUUUAGUUGUUUGAGAAGAAAGUAUAAAUAUUUUUUCUGGGGAGCAAAUUUGAAUAUCUCGGCUAUGGAGAGGGCUGGUAAGAAGUUUGUAGGAGAACAUGACUUCAGAAACUUCUGCAAAAUGGAUGCAGCAAAUGUUCACAAUUAUAGGCGACGCAUCAUGUCGUUUGACAUUUCUCCUUGUGAUGUGAGGACGGAAGGCAAUCCAUUAUGGGCUUUCAACAUUGAAGGCAGUGCUUUCCUCUGGCAUCAGGUUCGCUGCAUGGUUGCUGUUGUAUUCAUGGUUGGGCAAGAUCUUGAAGAUCCUGAUGUUAUAGACAUUCUACUGGAUCCAUUAAGAACGCCAAGGAAGCCUCAAUAUGUUAUGGCUUCAGAAAAUUCUCUGGUUCUUCAUUCUUGUGAAUUUGAAGGUGUCAAAUUUUGGUGUUCGUCAGAUGCUGGAGAAGCACUUCAGUUGCAUUUGUCGAAUGAAAUACGAACAUACAAGCUCCAAGCUGCAAUAUUCAAAGAAGCUCUUCUAAGCUGUUUGCCAAAUGAUGGGAGCUCUUCAGACAACAGAAAGUUAAAGAAGAAAAAUUCCCAUGUUGCCUUGUUGUCAAGGCCAACUGAGCUUACAGCUGGAUGCAACAGCAGGGUGUAAGGUAUUUCCCUUACAAUCUAUUGAUAUGAGAUGGAAAGAAUUGCUCUGAGGCAAUACAAACACUUCUCCGCUAUUCAAGAGGGUUAAUAAGCUCUCCAGCUCACUGAAAGAUACAAAAUGUAUGAAAAUCCUCUCCUUAGUUCCUUACAAAUAUAUAGCCCCCUUUUCCAAACACUCUGGUCACAAUCUCACAUGAUCUUGGAAACGCAACUCAAGGCAUACUUCAAAUGGUCCCGUGACUCUAAAUCACUCACUGAAGCUUCUUACGAAGAGCGGCGUGCCAAACUUGACUCAACAUCAACGAUUUGACUGAAUACAUCUUCACAAUCGCAAGUUUUGGAAGAGCUUGAACACUCAAACAUUAAAAGAGAAGAAGCAGCAAUGAUGAGCGUCUGGUGAUGAAGGGAAGAAGAGAUGUUUAAAGAAAAAGGUGAAAGGCCAAGCAGACCCAAACAUCAAACAUGUACCAACAUCAUGAAUCCAGGUGCAUUAACUUAGACCAAAUCAUUUUUCUCACUUGCUCUGUCCCCUUUUCCUUCCAAUUAUUAUUCUUCACAUCUUUAUGGUUUUACUUUUAUUAACCACGUUGACAAUGACUACUCAUGGUUCUGUGCUGUUUGUUCUAUCUUUAUGUUCCCAACUAUGUAAAUGUUUAACUUGUUUUCUUUUUCUUUUUCUAUCGCAUAAUUUAUUAUUUUUGAAAAAUAGUUGGAGAUACUUUAUUCCACUUGAAGGUAUGUUUCUAAACUAAAAUUUAGGUUAAAUUAUACAAAAACACCUCUGAACUU
Molecule: RNA transcript, 2360 nt
Organism: Cucumis sativus (cucumber)
Lineage: Eukaryota; Viridiplantae; Streptophyta; Magnoliopsida; Cucurbitales; Cucurbitaceae
Gene name: tRNA pseudouridine(38/39) synthase
Exons: 18
Source: RefSeq, a predicted model, not a curated record